This 313-nucleotide ribosomal RNA is filed under the name uncultured bacterium. RNAcentral's name for it is "bacterial SSU rRNA". It matches the Rfam family "Bacterial small subunit ribosomal RNA", at positions 28 to 334 of the family's 1533-position model. The record is from RNAcentral.
GACGAACGCUGGCGGCGUGCCUAACACAUGCAAGUGGAGCGACGAACCAGGGCUUGCCCUGGGGCCAAGCCGCGAACGGGUGAGUAACACGUGGGUAACCUGCCCCGAUGACCGGGACAACCCGAGGAAACUCGGGCUAAUACCGGAUGUGAUGUCCACACAUAAGUGUGUCCAUCAAAGGAAGCUUCGGCCUCCACAUUGGGAUGGGCCCGCGGCCCAUUAGCUUGUUGGUGGGGUAAAGGCCUACCAAGGCAACGAUGGGUAGCUGGUCUGAGAGGACGAUCAGCCACGCUGGGACUGAGACACGGCCCAG